GACGAACGCUGGCGGCGUGCUUAACACAUGCAAGUCGAACGGAAAGGCCUGCUUUCCCUUGUGGAUUGCGGGUACUCGAGUGGCGAACGGGUGAGUAACACGUGAGUGAUCUGCCCCCAACUUGGGUAUAAGCCUGGGAAACUGGGUCUAAUUCCCGAUAGGACUGCAGGGUGGUGCCUGUGGUGGAAAACGAUUUUCUAGUGGUUGGGGAUGAGCUCGCGGCCUAUCAGCUUGUUGGUGGGGUAAUGGCCUACCAAGGCGGCGACGGGUAGCCGGCCUGAGAGGGUGGACGGCCACAUUGGGACUGGGAUACGGCCCAGACUCCUACGGGAGGAAGCAGUGGGGAAUAUUGCACAAUGGGCGGAAGCCUGAUGCAGCGACGCCGCGUGGGGGAUGACGGCCUUCGGGUUGUAAACUCCUUUCGACCGCGAGGAAGCCACCUGGUUGGAAGGGUGGUGACGGUAGUGGUAGAAGAAGCACCGGCUAACUACGUG
This 494-nucleotide ribosomal RNA is filed under the name uncultured bacterium. Its description in RNAcentral is "partial 16S ribosomal RNA". It matches the Rfam family "Bacterial small subunit ribosomal RNA", at positions 28 to 507 of the family's 1533-position model. The record is from RNAcentral.